AAUUUAGUUUACCUGACCUGCUCUCUGAAGAUGUGUAAAGAGAACCUAUAUUGUCCCUUAGCUUAGGUGCCUUUAUUAGGUGACAGGAGUUAAAAUAACAAAAUCUAGGUAUGUCUCUUGAAAGUGUUAUGGCAUCAUUUAAAAAGGCAUGUUCUGUACUUGGGUUCUCAAGAUAAAGCAACCUGGUUUGCAAGCAUACCCAGUGCUCUAAGAAUCGCAGAGUUGGGUGAAGUUUCCACCCUGUGGAGCUUCCACUUGGAAAAAUCCUGUACAUACAGGCAGAACAGCCCCUGAUCCUGGCUGAAAAAUCCUGGC
Long non-coding RNA from Nothoprocta perdicaria, 315 nucleotides. RefSeq lists it as uncharacterized. The record is from RefSeq and is a predicted model, not a curated record. The transcript has 2 exons. Lineage: Eukaryota; Metazoa; Chordata; Aves; Tinamiformes; Tinamidae.